CGAAGUGGCUGGGGAGAGGGAAGUCUGGGCUUCCCUGUUUAGGCUGCUGCCACCGCGACCCCACCUCGGAAAAGCGGAAGAUGAUGGAUGGAUGGAUGGAUGGUAUAACAGCGGUAUAUGAAAACGAUGUUACUAAUGCUGUUACUUUUACCGGUAACGAGUAAGCUAAUAACUUUUAUGUACGCUACAACGCUGUUACGAUGCGUUUGAUGUAAUGUGGCAUGCUACUUUUGAUGUGAUUGUAUGUCAACAAGACAGCGUUAGAAGCACAAAAGGGUUAGUGCAGGUAAUAUCUUUUUACUAAUGAAAGCAACCCCCGGAAGUAAUUACGAACACGAUAUCAAAUAGAAAGAGGCCUCAUCCACACACAAACAAAAACAUUCAACAGAACUAUCUUAACUGCCACUGCUAAGCUAAAAAAUACAGCUGAACUAUUCUGCUAUGUCUGGGCGCUGAAGUCCCACGUUACUUGGCAAAAGGCACAGCUUUUUAAAGGCACACACACACUCUGCUCUCAUGAAAUGUCUCUCAACUGCAUAUGCUAGAUAUUUAAAACUUUUCUUUUUCAAGUAACACAUUAAUUACAAACCCCGUUUCCAUAUGAGUUGGGAAAUUGUGUUAGAUGUAAAUCCAAACGGAAUAAUUUUUUUUACAAAUAAUAAUUAACUUAGAAUUUCAUGGCUGCAAUACGUGCCAAAGUAGUUGGGAAAGGGCAUGUUCACCACUGUGUUACAUCACCUUUUCUUUCAACAACACUCAAUAACCGUUUGGGAACUGAGGAAACUAAUUGUUGAAGCUUGGAAGGUGGAAUUCUUUCCCAUUCUUGUUUUAUGUAGAGCUUCAGUCUCCUCUGUCGUAUUUUACGCUUCAUAAUGCACCACACAUUUUUGAUAGGACUGCAGGCCGGCCAGGAAAGUACCUGCACUCUUUUUUUAUGAAGCUGAACACGUGCUGAAUGUGGCUUGGCAUUGUCUUGCUGAAAUAAGCAGGGGCGUACAUGAAAAAGUCGGCGCUUAAAUGGCAGCAAAUGUUGUUCCAAACAGAUGGGUAACUUACAGAUGUGUAAGUUACCCAUGCCUUGGGCACUAAUGCACCCCCAUACCAUCACAGAUGCUGGCUUUUGAACUUUGCGUCGAUAACAUUCUGGAUGGUUCGCUUCCCCUUUGGUCCGGAUGAAACGGUGUCCAAUAUUUCCAAAAAUAAUUUGAAAUGUGGGCUCGUCAGACCACAGAACACCUUUCGACUUUGCAUCAGCCCAUCUUAGAUGAUCUUGGGCCCAGAGAAGCCGGCGGCGUUUCUGGAUGUUGAUAAUUGGCUUUCGCUUUGCAUAAUAGAGCUUUAACUUGCACUUACAGAUAUAGCAACACACUGUAUUUAGUGACAGUGGUUUUCUGAAGUGUUCCUGAACUCAUGUGGUGAUAUCCUUUAGAGAUUGAUGUCGGUUUUUGAUACAGUGCCGUCUGAGGGAUCGAAGGUCACAGUUAUUCAAUGUUGGUUUCCAGACAUGCCGCUUACGUGGAGUGAUUUCUCCGGAUUCUCUGAACCUUUUGAUGAUAUCAUGGAGCGUAGAUGUUGAAAUCCCUAAAUUUCUUGCAAUUGCACUUUGAGAAAGGUUGUUCUUAAACUGUUUGACUAUUUGCUCACGCAGUUGUGGACAAAGGGGUGUACCUCGCCCCAUCCUUUCCUGUGAAAGACUGAGCAUUUUUUGGGAAGCUGUUUUUAUAGCCAAUCAUGGCACCCACCUGUUCCAAAUUAGCCUUCACACCUGUGGGAUGUCCCAAAUAAGUGUUUGAUGAGCAUUUCUUAACUUUAUCAGUAUUUAUUGCCACCUUUCCCAACUUGUUUGUUGCAUGUUGCUGGCAUCAAUUUCUAAAGUUAAUGAUUAUUUGCACCAAAAAAAUGUUUAUCAGUUUGAACAUCAAAUAUCAAUCAAUCAAUCAAUGUUUACUUAUAUAGCCCUAAAUCACUAGUGUCUCAAAGGGCUGCACAAACCACUACGACAUCCUCGGUAGGCCCACAUAAGGGCAAGGAAAACUCACACCCAGUGGGACGUCGGUGACAAUGAUGACUAUGAGAACCUUAGAGAGGAGGAAAGCAAUGGAUGUCGAGCGGGUCUAACAUGAUACUGUGAAAGUUCAAUCCACAAUGGAUCCAACACAGUCGCAAGAGUCCAGUCCAAAGCGGAUCCAACACAGCAGCGAGAGUCCCGUUCACAGCGGAGCCAGCAGGAAACCAUCCCAAGCGGAGGCGGAUCAGCAUCGCAGAGAUGUCCCCAGCCGAUACACAGGCAAACAUAUGUUGUCUUUGUAGCAUAUUCAACUGAAUAUGGGUUGAAAAUGAUUUGCAAAUCAUUGUAUUCUGUUUAUAUUUACAUCUAACACAAUUUCCCAACUCAUAUGGAAACGGGGUUUGUACUUAAUUUAAUAAUUAUUUACAUUUAUGAAAGAGUAAUUCUGUUUGUAAUAUAAUUUUUAGUCAAGUAACGACUAUUAUUAUUGCUUUUUAAAACAGAUAUUCCAAACAUUGUUAAUUGAUAAACUGUUUUAUCAGGAUAUGGUGUAUUUGCUCUUGCAUCAAUUGAAAAAGGUUCUUUUGUGGUCGAGUACCGAGGGAAGUUCAUCUCAAGACAUGAGCGGGACAAGAGACAGAAACCCUCUAUAAAUAUCUUUACUAUUUAUCUGGCAUUAUAUGCUCAUAAUGUUAACAACAAAAAGUGCUGAUAAUGUUAUAAUUAAUAAGUUCUAACAUUAUUUUUAUGUGUUUUGUUGCAGACACCAACUGUUGAUGUUCUAUCUCAACAUUCUCCAGACUCAUGUGACCGAUAAACCGACUUCAUCCCUCCAACAGACACCAACUGUUGGGGUUCUAUCUCAACAUUCUCCAGAUUCAGAUGUGAGCGAUAAACCGACUUCAUCCCUCCAACAGACACCAACUGUUGGGGUUCUAUCUCAACAUUCUCCAGAUUCAGAUGUGAGCGAUAAACCGACUUCAUCCCUCCAACAGGUUAUUACAAGUCUAUUUUUACUAUAUCUGCUCUAAAUGUGACCCAACCUAUAUUUUGAAAGACAUUUAUUAAUUUUAAUCUCUCACAGAUCGUUUAUAUGACAACAUUUUCGUAAGAGUACAUCCAUGUUAGUCAGUAAGGAGUUUGGAACUCAUGUUUAGCAAAACAGGAGAUGUUACAAGUCAACAACAUACAUUCUACAUGUGACCCCUCGUCAUGUCCUUAUAUUGUUUGAACCAAGAAAGACUUAGGUGUGUUUCAUAUAAGGUCCUCAUAUUUUCUAAACCAGAUUAGUGUGUGUUACAAUGUUAAUGUCCAAGCUUUAAAAUGUGUGUCUCAAUUCAGGUCCUCAUAUUUUCUGAACCAGAUUUUAGUGUGUUUUAUAUUCUUAAUUAAUUGUCUAAGAGCUGAAACUCUGUAAUAAUCUUUACUAUUUAUCUGGCAUUGUAUGCUCAGAGUUUUAUCCACAAAAAGUGCUGAUAAUGUUAUAAUUAAUUAGUUCUGACAUUAUAUUUUUGUGUUUUGUUGCAGAAACCAACUGUUGAGGUUCCAUCUCAACAUUCUCCAGAUUCAGAUGUGAGCCAUUAACUGACUUCAUCCCUCCAACAGAAACCAACUGUUGAGGUUCUAUCUCAACAUUCUCUAGAUUCAGAUGACAGCCAUAAACCGACUUCAUCCCUCCAACAGAUUGACAGCAGGACAAAUCGCUGGAAGUAGGUAUGUCUCAAGCUUCUUCCACUUGGUCCACUCCAAAGCGGGCUGCAAAGGGGAAGAAGUGGAAGCAGUUGAAUGACACAUGUUGCAUUUUGUAACUGGCAACAAAGUACCAGGUAAAAAAGAUUGUGAAGCCUGCCUCCAUAAAGAACUAGUAGCUCUACAGGACAGAGAUUGGCUUGCCAUCAAGUACUACAUCCAUAACAGAAUUAUAUUAAAAAAAGGGGAAAAAAAUGUUUUCCCACAUCUUCUGUGGUAGUUUGAGUAUGUUACCAGCAAUUAAAAAAGCAAAAUAAA
Nerophis ophidion (straightnose pipefish) is the source of this 4015-nucleotide long non-coding RNA. RefSeq lists it as uncharacterized. Lineage: Eukaryota; Metazoa; Chordata; Actinopteri; Syngnathiformes; Syngnathidae. The transcript is spliced from 6 exons. The record is from RefSeq and is a predicted model, not a curated record.